This is a small nuclear RNA of Hippopotamus amphibius kiboko, 139 nucleotides long. RefSeq annotates it as U4 spliceosomal RNA. The record is from RefSeq and is a predicted model, not a curated record. The transcript has a single exon. Lineage: Eukaryota; Metazoa; Chordata; Mammalia; Artiodactyla; Hippopotamidae.
AGCUUUGCGCAGUGGCAAAGCUCCACUCCAGCCUGUGAGGCUUAUCCGAGGUGAGAUGAUUGCUAAUUGAAAACUCUUCCCAAAGGGGAAGGCUUCUUUUCUAAAUUGAAGUAAAAUUCUGCACAGGCUAGAUAAGGCC